RNAcentral lists this long non-coding RNA (265 nucleotides) under Nicotiana benthamiana. Its description in RNAcentral is "long non-coding RNA (NBEN_LNC001677)". The record is from RNAcentral. Lineage: Eukaryota; Viridiplantae; Streptophyta; Magnoliopsida; Solanales; Solanaceae.
UUAGUUUUGCACUUCAUAUUAUUUCUUGUGUGAUUUUACCUAUGGUUCAGUUGCUCUUAUUGCCACUAGCAUGUAGUUGUUAGUCUACCUAGUUUAACUUAGCAUGUUUCCACCUAUCCCCCUUUCCUUGUCUCAAUGUAUGUUUUCCCUCUUCCAUUUGCACUACUGCUUGGCUACUUAAUAGCCCUAUAACCUCUCCCUGAAGUUGAUUAUAUUUGGGGUUUGGUGCAGUAAGAACCAAACCCUUGUUUGACAACCAUGCUUG